CCGGCUUGCAGGUAAAGGGUUACAGAUUCUAGGAAGUAUUAAAUGCAAACUUUAAAGGAUUUUAUUUUCAUCUACAGUCACAUGAUGCCUUAAUACCCAAUGACACUAACUACAGUGUCUCAUUAAGAGGUCAUGCAAACUCCCAAGCUAAACAAGGCAUUCUUACAUAUUUAACAUUCAAAUGCAGAAGCCAAGCUAAGCCAUGGAAGAUUGUAAUCAGGAAAAGCUACGCUUCCUGAUCCACACAAAAGCUACAGAGGAGGUGCCCCACCACAGUCUGGUCUAUGCACGCACAGAAAGCAGGAGAAUAUUGACUACUUUGGCAAUGGGGUUUUCUGGUCUUUGGGUACAGCUUUCCAUCUCCCACACACAUGUUGGGGAACUUCAGGAAAAGCAGUAAGUAUUGAGGAAGCCUCAUAUUAACACCUGACCUCACUGAUACCUGCUCCAGUCCUGGCUCUCCAGGACUGUGCUCCUGCUGCUCUGAUGCAGACACCAGCAAGACACCAGCCAGACUCCCCUGGAUUGCAACCCCCAUGCCACCCCAUAGAUGUGACAGGAGUGUUCACACUGUGGGUACAAGAAUUGCAAACAGUAAACCAAAUAUAUGUGUCAUUUUUAGCAAGGGUUGAUUACACUGAUUACUGAUGUAAGAUGAGCUACCCAAAUGUAUAUCAACUAUAGGAUAAGGGCCCACCCAUUCAUUCUACUCUUCAUCAGUGGAACAGUUUUAGUAUCAUAAUUCUGAAGCAGGACAAAACUUGGUUCCACCCUCUCAAGAAAAACUCAUUCUCAAAAGGAAGAUGCACUCUACCAAAAGCAGGAGGAAGAAGCAGCAGCCACUGCAAUUCACUUGAUUGAGGAGAACCUGCUCCCAAGGCUGUGUUUCCUAGCACUGAGGAUUAAAAAUGUCAUCU
RNAcentral lists this long non-coding RNA (917 nucleotides) under Parus major (Great Tit). RNAcentral describes it as "lncRNA (ENSPMJG00000016286.1)". The record is from RNAcentral. Lineage: Eukaryota; Metazoa; Chordata; Aves; Passeriformes; Paridae.